RNAcentral lists this transfer-messenger RNA (327 nucleotides) under Planctomycetota bacterium. RNAcentral's name for it is "partial transfer-messenger RNA". It matches the Rfam family "transfer-messenger RNA", at positions 49 to 374 of the family's 374-position model. Rfam says of the family: Bacterial tmRNA, also known as 10Sa RNA or SsrA, is named for its dual tRNA and mRNA-like properties. Its role is to liberate the mRNA from a stalled ribosome. Lineage: Bacteria; Pseudomonadati; Planctomycetota. The record is from RNAcentral.
GCCGAGGAUACUCGUUGGCCUCGUAAAAAAACGGGUAAAAACAAUAACUGACGAAACGUCACCAUACGCUGCGGCUGCUUAGUCGCGCCGUCGCCUGAUUUCAGCCUGCAAUCCCCUUCGGGGGAGGGAUCAGGACCGACGUAAAUGCGCGGGAUAUGUCUACACGUUGUUCCUCGAGGGCGUGAAGAUGAGAAUUACACUGGAGGAAGGCCUGAAGGGAUCCUGUUCGUUGGGAGCCCCAAAGGCGAGAUAAAACACGAACUACGCGCGUAGAAGCACCUGCUGAGACGCCUUGGGACGGGAGUUCGAUUCUCCCCGGGUCCACCA